GCGCUACGUCAAGGAGCAGUUGUUCUGCUCCCGCCUUGUGAGUACCCAUUUUAUUUUUAUUUAUUUUACUACCAACAUUGUAUCCAGUGUACACUAUUGGCUGUUUCUUUCUACCCGAGUGUCGGAUACACCACUGACGGAGGAAGUCCACCCUAUAUCCCAUAAGCGGGUAUCAAACCGCUGUACGCCUUCUAUACUAGAGCAAGUUUAGCUCUUUCAAAUGUGAGUUUUAUUUUUCCCUUCUUAUUCAUUUUUAGUGUUUUUAACAUUUUACACUAUUGGCUCUCCACCCUUUUAUCUUCCAUAUACGAGUGGAUUCUCACGGAUGAACACAUAAAGGACAAUUGCUCCGGAUCAAGCACGGAUAGAUCUCCUAACCUCAAAGAGCAUAUUCUAGAUAAGACUUUCUUAUUUUACUACAGCUAUUUAUUUGGACUAUUUGCAAUUUUUAUUUGUGUAUUAGCGCAGCCCUUAUCCUUCAUUCUUUUUCUCGAAGCAUAGUAUUGCCUAAGAACUAAUAUACUUACCCAGUGGAGGAAUGAAGAAUAUUACACUGUUUACAAUUUUAAAUAAAAAGUAUACAAACAUAGCCAGGAUUCAGCUGUAAGCAUUUGCAACACUUACAACAAUCAAGUAACACACAUUCAUAUAAAAUGUAAGUUACUUAGCCAGUCAGUGUAAUGACAGGAAUGAAUAAGUAGAUAACUCCCUAAUUCCCACGGUAUUAGUGAGCUAUCUACUAAAAGGCUGAAUGACCUAAAUUGGUCUUUCAGCCAAAUUUACUAAGUAAAUAUUACUUAGUAUUAGUAAAUUAUGCCCCUACUCAACCCUGAGCGGUGGGUGGGGGACCUACAGUAAAACAAGGGGGGAGACCUAAUGUCCUCCCCCCGAGCGGUGGGUGGGGGCCCUAAAUACUAAUAAGGUGGGUGACCUAAUGUCCUCCCCCCUGGCCCCCACCCCUGAGCGGCGGGUGGGGGCCCUACAGUAAAAUAAGGGGGGGGACCUAAUGUCCUCCCCCGUGGCCCCCACCCCUAAGCGGCGGGUGGGGGCCCUAAAUACUAAUAAGGGGGGCCUAAGGUCCUUCCCCCUGGCCCCCACCCCUGAGCGGCAGGUGGGGGCCCUAAAUACCAAUAGGGGGGGACCUAUUGUCCUCCCCCCGGCCCCCACCCCUGAGCGGCGUGCAGGUGCCCUAAAUAAAAAUGUUGCACCCCCCCAGUUGACUAGGGGUCCCCAAACCCCUAGUCACCCC
Pelobates cultripes (western spadefoot toad) is the source of this 1249-nucleotide non-coding RNA. The record is from the annotation of a GenBank genome assembly. NCBI's taxonomy places the organism in Eukaryota, Metazoa, Chordata, Amphibia, Anura, Pelobatidae.